AACGAACGCUGGCGGCAUGCCUAACACAUGCAAGUCGAACGAGGCCUUCGGGUCUAGUGGCGCACGGGUGCGUAACGCGUGGGAACCUGCCCUUAGGUUCGGAAUAACUCCCCGAAAGGGGUGCUAAUACCGGAUAAUGUCUUCGGACCAAAGAUUUAUCGCCUUUGGAUGGGCCCGCGUUGGAUUAGCUAGUUGGUAGGGUAAAAGCCUACCAAGGCGACGAUCCAUAGCUGGUCUGAGAGGAUGAUCAGCCACACUGGGACUGAGACACGGCCCAGACUCCUACGGGAGGCAGCAGUGGGGAAUAUUGGACAAUGGGCGAAAGCCUGAUCCAGCAAUGCCGCGUGAGUGAUGAAGGCCUUAGGGUUGUAAAGCUCUUUUACCCGGGAUGAUAAUGACAGUACCAGGAGAAUAAGCUCCGGCUAACUCCGUG
Molecule: ribosomal RNA, 433 nt
Filed under: uncultured bacterium
Lineage: Bacteria
Description: partial 16S ribosomal RNA
Rfam family: Bacterial small subunit ribosomal RNA
Source: RNAcentral